This 115-nucleotide ribosomal RNA is filed under the name Danio rerio (zebrafish). The record is from RNAcentral. Lineage: Eukaryota; Metazoa; Chordata; Actinopteri; Cypriniformes; Danionidae.
GCUGGCAGCUUGCUCUCCGCAGCUCUCACAUGGUCGCCCACUGAAGCUAAGCAGGGCUGCGCCUGGUCAGUACCUAGAUGGGAGGACACAUGGGAAAACUAGGUUGCUGUUGGAA